CACCAAGCUCCUUAAUGUAUUGGGUUUUUUCAUCAACACAAUAUGGAAUAUUUAGGGAAUAUCAACCCCAGAUUUUUUUCCAUCUUAAAUAUGUUUCUUUCUUUGUUUAGCUGUUUUACUUGGUUUAGGGUUAGGGUUAGGGUUAUUUGCUAGCUUUUUCAUUUGGUUUAUUCACUGAGGAGCAAUUGUAGGUUUAAUUUGUGUUCCGUUUCAAACCUUCUGCCAGUUUUGUAUUUUCUCAUAUAAACUGAUACAAAACGGAUAUGUGUAUUCACAGG
This 278-nucleotide long non-coding RNA is filed under the name Mytilus galloprovincialis (Mediterranean mussel). The record is from RNAcentral. Lineage: Eukaryota; Metazoa; Mollusca; Bivalvia; Mytilida; Mytilidae.